Long non-coding RNA from Brassica napus (rape), 998 nucleotides. RefSeq lists it as uncharacterized. Lineage: Eukaryota; Viridiplantae; Streptophyta; Magnoliopsida; Brassicales; Brassicaceae. The record is from RefSeq and is a predicted model, not a curated record. The transcript is spliced from 4 exons.
GUGUUCUUUUUCCACAGUUACGUGAAGAGUCUUCUUCUUUGAUCUUCUAUACAUCUAUGGAGUUUCAGUGUCUUCAAUACACAUGAAGAAUGGCUUUGUGAAUCUUCGAUCUGGCGUUCUGUCUUCUAUUCAAAUAAAGGGUAACGUUUCUCCUAAUUGAUUUAUCCUCUUUAUCAUGCUCCUUAAAUCCAUCACCCUUCUUCGAGCACGAUCUGUUAUUGAAGCCACAUUAUUCAUCCAAGGCGGUGUCUCCACUCCUAUAAAAGUCCGGUCAAUGCUCCUCCACCUUUCAAGUGCGGUUGCUAGGUUCUGGGAGGCCAAGAACAACAAGCUUGGGCUGAUGGGCGUGGAUAUGCUCUUUUUGGAUUUAAAGGAUUUCUUUAAAAACCCAUGUUCACAGUUCUUGAAUUCAUGCCUUGAAAGACAGCCAAGAAGAUUUCAAGAAAAUCAUCAGAGCGAUCAGUGUUUGAAGCAAAAUAAAGAAACAGCUAAGUAAUCUAUCCACACAGAGAUAGUGUUCUUAAUCUCCCAAUCAAUAGUGUGGAAAAUAGUUGUAGUGGUAAAUGAGGUGUUGUUGUGAAGAACACUGUUACUCUGUUUCCAAAUAUGAAACACGACAGGCCUGAGUUACCAUUUUCCGAGGAAGGAGCCGGUGCUUCCAUCCCAUAGUAGCUGCAAAAGCAGAAAUAGUAUUAACAUUGUAGUUGUUGGCUUGAUUACUUCUGAUCCAUGCUAGCAGUUCUGACCAAUUCAUAAACAUUUCCAAUGUUCCGCUUAUACGUAAGAAAACCAGACUCCAUAUAUCUGAGCUAUAGUCACAGCUGAGAAGAAGAUGAUCCCGAGAACAGAGGCAGCUUGAUGUGAAAAUGGUUCAUUCGUUAAGUGAGAGGUGCUCUUUUUUUUUUUUGUCACAGAAGUGAGAGGUGCUCUAAGUUGUUUUGUUUUGUAUUGAUACAUUUUUUUUAAAUUAAUACAACCCUUCAUUUUUGUUGACCAAA